AGCGAACGCUGGCGGCAGGCUUAACACAUGCAAGUCGAACGGGCACUUCGGUGUCAGUGGCAGACGGGUGAGUAACACGUGGGAACGUACCUCUUGGUUCGGAACAACACAGGGAAACUUGUGCUAAUACCGGAUAGCCCUUACGGGGAAAGAUUUAUCGCCGAGAGAUCGGCCCGCGUCUGAUUAGCUAGUUGGUAGGGUAACGGCCUACCAAGGCGACGAUCAGUAGCUGGUCUGAGAGGAUGAUCAGCCACAUUGGGACUGAGACACGGCCCAAACUCCUACGGGAGGCAGCAGUGGGGAAUAUUGGACAAUGGGGGCAACCCUGAUCCAGCCAUGCCGCGUGAGUGAUGAAGGCCCUAGGGUUGUAAAGCUCUUUUGUGCGGGAAGAUAAUGACGGUACCGCAAGAAUAAGCCCCGGCUAACUUCGUGCCAGCCGCCGCCGUAA
Molecule: ribosomal RNA, 448 nt
Filed under: uncultured bacterium
Lineage: Bacteria
Description: partial 16S ribosomal RNA
Rfam family: Bacterial small subunit ribosomal RNA
Source: RNAcentral